This 352-nucleotide unclassified non-coding RNA is filed under the name soil metagenome. RNAcentral describes it as "partial contains 5.8S ribosomal RNA, internal transcribed spacer 2, and large subunit ribosomal RNA". The stretch from base 1 to 120 matches the Rfam family "5.8S ribosomal RNA", at positions 35 to 154 of the family's 154-position model. The record is from RNAcentral.
GAUGAAGAACGUAGCGAAAUGCGAUAAGUAAUGUGAAUUGCAGAAUUCAGUGAAUCAUCGAAUCUUUGAACGCACAUUGCGCCCGCCAGUAUUCUGGCGGGCAUGCCUGUUCGAGCGUCAUUACAACCCUCAGGCCCCCGGGCCUGGCGUUGGGGAUCGGCGGAGCCCCCCGUGGGCACACGCCGUCCCCCAAAUGCAGUGGCGGUCCCGCCGCAGCUUCCAUCGCGUAGUAACUAACACCUCGCGACUGGAGAGCGGCGCGGCCACGCCGUAAAACACCCAACUCUUCUGAAGUUGACCUCGAAUCAGGUAGGAAUACCCGCUGAACUUAAGCAUAUCAAUAAGCGGAGGA